UUUUUGUUUUAUUGUUUUGUUUUUUGAGACAGAGUUUCGCUCUUGUUGCCCAGGCUGGAGUGCAAUGCCACGAUCUCGGCCCACUGCAACUUCCACCCCCCAUGUUCAAACAAUUCUCCUGCCCCAGCCUCCCAAGUAGCUGGGAUUACAGGCCUGCGCCACUACACCUGGCUAAUUUUUGUACUUUUAGCAGAGACGGGGUUUCACCAUGUUGGCCAGGCUGGUCUUGAACUCCUGACCUCAGGUGAUUGCCUGCCUUGGCCUCUCAAAGUACUACGAUUACAGGCAUGAGCCACUGCACCCGGCCAAUAUCAUGUUUUAAUCAGGGAACUCUUAGCUCUAGUUCAAGAAGUGCAAACCUGAUAAUGUACUGAAAAUGAUGUAGCUGAAGGGACACAUUGUUCUUCUAUAUUGGCCUCAAAAAGGUAGGAGGUUCUCUAAAUGGACUUCUGUUAUCUACACAGAGAUCCAUGGCAUCUGUCAUCCAUGGAAGAUCUAAAUCUUAACUGCAUUUUCUAUAUCCGUGGUUCUCAAACUGUGGUCCCUAAGACCUACAGCAUCAGUGGAGGACUGAUUAGAAAUGCAAAACUAGGGCUCCCACUCCAGACCUACAGAAUCAGAAACUCUGGAUGGGGACCCAGCAAUCUAUUUUAACACAUUUUCCAGGUGAUUCUAAUGCACAGUAAAGUUUGAGCACCACUUUUUUUUGUCCUUUGCCAAAAGGGAGGAGCCUGGAGGAAAACUCAGGGACAGGCCCAGUGGUUGUUAUACAAAAAUUGGACUUUCCCAAGAGGGGAUGUAAUGCCAUGAGGUAGGGGAUAGCAUGAAGUCUCUCCAAAGAAUGAGAAUGACACUCCCUGACUAGGAC
This 868-nucleotide long non-coding RNA is filed under the name Homo sapiens (human). RNAcentral's name for it is "non-protein coding lnc-SLC25A51-3:2". The record is from RNAcentral. Lineage: Eukaryota; Metazoa; Chordata; Mammalia; Primates; Hominidae.